CAACUUAUCAAGGGAGAGACUUGGAAACAAAACAGGUGAUUCUUGCGAAAAUUAGAGGGCAUAUCAAGGUUGGAAAUUUUGUUCUAGUUAGCAUUUUUUGUUUAUUUAUUGAAAGAAAAUAUUUUGAUGUUUUAUUCCAAGGUCUUAUAUAUAUUAACUUUAAAUUAUAUAAUAAAAACAUAAUGUGAAGUAUCUAAAUAUAAUUUUAAAACUUAAAAUAUUUUUAAAAAAUUAAAAUUCAAAACUAAAAAAAGCUUUAAUUUUAAGUAAUUCCACACAAAAAAAAUAUUGAAAAAGUAAAAAGUUUUAAUACAGAAAUAAAGAUCUUGAUCAUGUCAUGAUAUGUAGGGAAAAUUAUUAAAUACACAUUUUAAUAUAUAGUCAUUUCCACCAAGCACAUUAUCAUCAUCAAAAUAGAUCUCUUUAUCCUUUAAAAUUGAAGCAGACAAAGUUAUCUAAAUAUUCUUUUAAUUUAAAUCAUCUUCAUCAAGAAAACUAAGUUAUUCACAAAUUAUCAUUUAAUAAAUAAAAGUUAUCACGGUUAAUGAGAUCUAAAGUAUUAUUUAUUUUGCUCAAAGUUCUAUAUAAUACACACAUAAAAGAAAACAACAUGAAUAUAAAUUAUAUAUAUUAGUGAUAAAUUCUAUUUUUUAAAAAAUAAUUCCAAUAUUAAUGAAAAUAAUAAUAAUUAUUAUAUUCAAUAUUAUUAUUAUAAUAAUAAUAUUAAUGUUUACCAAUAAUAAACAAAGACUAAAUCACAUAGUCUCUACCAAGUGCAAGUUUAAAUUGAUUUUAAUGCUUGAUUUUAAACUCUCUUUUGCUACCAAUAUGAGAUGUUGCUUUCCAAUAUAUUGAGUUUAUGCAGCACGUUAUUCAUAAGGUUUGAAGAACUACCAGGGGGAGCAUAAUCUGAUCUGGUUCGUUUGUUUAUAUGACAAAAAUUGUGUUCUUUGUCCAAGCUUUGAGAAGUAAACUUGCAGGGGAAGUGUCAACAUUGGAGGGUAGCUUGGUUUGCUCUGGAUACAUUUAUGAGUCUACGGAUUUUGCAGUGUACUGCUUGAUCAUGUGUUGUAUUUUGUUUAGUUGUUUUGGUAUUACUUGAAGCAGCGUUCUUUAAUGGGCUAAGUUCCUAGUGUUUCUUUGGAUAUGUUCGAUUCUAUCUGCAGAAUCAUGUUAGGAUUGUCAAUUUUGGAAGAAUUUACUAACGUUUGACAUUACCGAUUAUGGAUGUGUAAAUUGUAAUGGCAAGGCCAAGUCUGAAUGGUUGGCUCUAUCCAUAAAGCAAAUAGCUGGGCUUAAAGGAAAGCCUCCCUCCAAUUAUGUCGCG
This 1327-nucleotide long non-coding RNA is filed under the name Populus trichocarpa (black cottonwood). RNAcentral's name for it is "long non-coding RNA (PTRI_LNC001484)". Lineage: Eukaryota; Viridiplantae; Streptophyta; Magnoliopsida; Malpighiales; Salicaceae. The record is from RNAcentral.